GGUGCUAGUGUGUAGUGGUUAUCACUCGGGAUUCUGAUGAUUCGGCAUUGUUAUCGUUCCCGAAACCCAGGUUCGAAUCCUGGUAGCACCU
Non-coding RNA from Paramarasmius palmivorus, 91 nucleotides. NCBI's taxonomy places the organism in Eukaryota, Fungi, Basidiomycota, Agaricomycetes, Agaricales, Marasmiaceae. The record is from the annotation of a GenBank genome assembly.